RNAcentral lists this ribosomal RNA (403 nucleotides) under uncultured bacterium. RNAcentral's name for it is "bacterial SSU rRNA". It matches the Rfam family "Bacterial small subunit ribosomal RNA", at positions 355 to 775 of the family's 1533-position model. The record is from RNAcentral.
UAGGGAAUUUUGGACAAUGGGCGAAAGCCUGAUCCAGCAACGCCGCGUGCGCGAUGACGGCCUUCGGGUUGUAAAGCGCUUUUAAGAGAGAUGAGAAAGGACAGUAUCUCUAGAAUAAGCCUCGGCGAACUACGUGCCAGCAGCCGCGGUAAAACGUAGGAGGCUAGCGUUAUCCGGAUUUAUUGGGCGUAAAGCGUGUGCAGGCGGUUUGGCAAGUUGGAUGUGAAAGCUCCCGGCUUAACUGGGAGAGGUCGUUCAAACUGCCAGACUAGAGAAUGGAAGAGGGAGGUGGAAUUCCGGGUGUAGUGGUGAAAUGCGUAGAUAUCCGGAGGAACACCAGUGGCGAAAGCGGCCUCCUAGGCCAUUUCUGACGCUAAGACACGAAAGCUAGGGUAGCAAACGG